GAUGAACGCUGGCGGCGUGCCUAAUACAUGCAAGUAGAACGCUGAAGCUUGGUGCUUGCACCGAGCGGAAGAGUUGCGAACGGGUGAGUAACGCGUAGGUAACCUGCCUCUUAGCGGGGGAUAACUAUUGGAAACGAUAGCUAAUACCGCAUAAAAGUCGGCAUUGCAUGAUGUUGACUUGAAAGGUGCAACUGCAUCACUAAGAGAUGGACCUGCGUUGUAUUAGCUAGUUGGUGAGGUAACGGCUCACCAAGGCGACGAUACAUAGCCGACCUGAGAGGGUGAUCGGCCACACUGGGACUGAGACACGGCCCAGACUCCUACGGGAGGCAGCAGUAGGGAAUCUUCGGCAAUGGACGGAAGUCUGACCGAGCAACGCCGCGUGAGUGAAGAAGGUUUUCGGAUCGUAAAGCUCUGUUGUAAGAGAAGAACGAGUGUGAGAGUGGAAAGUUCACACUGUGACGGUAACUUACCAGAAAGGGACGGCUAACUACGUGCCAGCAGCCGCGGUAAUACGUAGGUCCCGAGCGUUAUCCGGAUUUAUUGGGCGUAAAGCGAGCGCAGGCGGUUUAAUAAGUCUGAUGUGAAAGCCCACGGCUCAACCGUGGAGGGUCAUUGGAAACUGUUAAACUUGAGUGCAGGAGAGAAAAGUGGAAUUCCUAGUGUAGCGGUGAAAUGCGUAGAGAUUAGGAGGAACACCAGUGGCGAAGGCGGCUUUUUGGCCUGUAACUGACACUGAGGCGCGAAAGCGUGGGGAGCAAACAGG
Molecule: ribosomal RNA, 766 nt
Filed under: uncultured Streptococcus sp.
Lineage: Bacteria; Bacillati; Bacillota; Bacilli; Lactobacillales; Streptococcaceae
Description: bacterial SSU rRNA
Rfam family: Bacterial small subunit ribosomal RNA
Source: RNAcentral